This 391-nucleotide ribosomal RNA is filed under the name Stramenopiles sp. MAST-3F. RNAcentral's name for it is "partial small subunit ribosomal RNA". It matches the Rfam family "Eukaryotic small subunit ribosomal RNA", at positions 582 to 975 of the family's 1831-position model. The record is from RNAcentral.
AUUCCAGCUCCAAUAGCGUAUAUUAAAGUUGUUGCAGUUAAAAAGCUCGUAGUUGGAUUUCUGGUCUGAGCGUCCGGUCCGCCGCUGUGCGGUGUGUACUUGGUUCGACUCGGGCCUUCCUUGUAGGGAAUGUUUCUGGCAUUAAUUUGUCGGGGGCGGGAACUGCAUCGUUUACUGUGAAAAAAUUAGAGUGUUUAAAGCAGGCAUUUGCUGUGAAUACAUUAGCAUGGAAUAAUAAGAUAGGACUUUGGUUCUAUUUUGUUGGUUGGAGGCCAAGGUAAUGAUUAAUAGGGAUAGUUGGGGGUAUUCAUAUUUAAUUGUCAGAGGUGAAAUUCUUGGAUUUAUGAAAGAUGAACUUAUGCGAAAGCAUUUACCAAGGAUGUUUUCAUUA